GACUUCACGCUAUAUCGAAUCACUCCCUCACGACGUCUCGGGUACGCUUUUGUCUGCGAAGCAGAAGGAAUAAGGCGCGCAGGCACUAACGCGAAGCCGCUAACGGGCUCAACGCGGAGAUAACCACCGCGCCCCCAACCCGAGCGAACCGCGCACAGAGAGAAAUAAGAGAUGCCUGAAGGGAAGCAAGAACGGAAAACAUCCUUAAAAUGACUGAUUUACAAUUGGAAUACAGGAACUGCUUUUCUUAGGGAGAUAGAGCCUCGAAUCCAAAGGAGUACCUGAAUGCACAUCUGUAACUAGAGAAGG
Molecule: long non-coding RNA, 309 nt
Organism: Pezoporus occidentalis (night parrot)
Lineage: Eukaryota; Metazoa; Chordata; Aves; Psittaciformes; Psittacidae
Exons: 3
Source: RefSeq, a predicted model, not a curated record